Molecule: ribosomal RNA, 149 nt
Filed under: uncultured bacterium
Lineage: Bacteria
Description: partial 16S ribosomal RNA
Rfam family: Bacterial small subunit ribosomal RNA
Source: RNAcentral
AGGCAGCAGUGGGGAAUAUUGCACAAAUGGGGGAAACCCUGAUGCAGCGACCGCCGACGUGAAGGAAGAAGUAUCUCGGUAUGUAAACUUCUAUCAGCAGGGAAGAAAGUGACGGUACCUGACUAAGAAGCCCCGGCUAACUACGUGCC